AUACGUAGGGUGCGAGUGUUGUCCGGAAUUACUGGGCGUAAAGAGCUCGUAGGUGGUUUGUCGCGUCGUCUGUGAAAUUCCGGGGCUUAACUCCGGGCGUGCAGGCGAUACGGGCAUAACUUGAGUACUGUAGGGGAGACUGGAAUUCCUGGUGUAGCGGUGAAAUGCGCAGAUAUCAGGAGGAACACCGGUGGCGAAGGGGGGUCUCUGGGCAGUAACUGACGCUGAGGAGCGAAAGCAUGGGUAGCGAACAGGAUUAGAUACCCUGGUAGUCCAUGCCGUAAACGGUGGGCGCUAGGUGUAGGGGUCUUCCACGACUUCUGUGCCGUAGCUAACGCAUUAAGCGCCCCGCCUGGGGAGUACGGCCGCAAGGCUAAAACUCAAAGGAAUUGACGGGG
Molecule: ribosomal RNA, 398 nt
Filed under: uncultured bacterium
Lineage: Bacteria
Description: partial 16S ribosomal RNA
Rfam family: Bacterial small subunit ribosomal RNA
Source: RNAcentral